UAAUGUAGUGAACCCUAAGACAUGCAAGAUACCCAAUAAGUUAUGAAGAGAAUUAUAUUGGCAGAGACACUGCCAGCUUGGACUGAAAGGGACAGAGCCAGUGCAAAAGGACAAGACGGCUUUGCACACCCAAACUUUUACAGGCAGGAAGCAGGCAGAUGAAACUGUGGAGCUGCAAACAUCUUUCAUGGAAGAGGUGGGACGACUCAGGGAGAGCCAUGGAGAAUCAUUCAUGAACAGGAGUAGGCAUCAAAGAGUUCCUAGCAUUUCUCCAACUGGAUUACAGAAUUUCCACACACCAGUGACUUAUAUGUAUGACUUAUAUGUGCCUCCUGUCCCCUGCCCCACUUUUUUUUUUUUUUGAGACAGAGUCUUGCUAUGUUGCCCAGGCUGGUCUCGAACUCCUGGGCUCAAGUAAUCCUCCCACCUUGGCCUCCUGAGUAGCUGGGAUGACAGGCACACGCUACCACGCCCGGCUUCCCCUGCUUUUGAGCAAGAAUGUCCUUACUGGUUAUCCUGUGCCUGCCUCUACCACUGCACACUGGGAGUGUGGAGAUGACCUGUCUCUUUAGCUCACAGGUCUGCAGAUAGGAAAUGCACUUAAGGGCUGGAUGCGGUGGCUCACGCCUGUAAUCCCAACACUUUGGGAGGCCAAGGCAAGUGGAUCACCUGAGGUCAGGAGUUAAAGACGAGCCUGGCCAACAUGGUGAAAUCCCGUCUCUACUAAAGAAAAUUAGCUGGGAUGGUGGUGCAUGCCUGUAGUCCCAGCUACUUGGGAUGCUGAGGCAAGAGAAUCACUUGAACCUGGGAAGCAGAGUUUUCAGUGAGGUGAGAUGGUGGUGGCUCUGCACUUCAGCUUGGGAGACAGAGCAAGACUCCAUUUCAAAAAAAAAAAAAAAAAAGAAAUGCACUUAAGGAGCCAUAGUUACGGAACUGCAUGCUAGAGCCACAUCCCCACCUGGACCUGACUGAGAUGAUGAGAUUCUGUACUUUGAGCUGAUGCUGUAAUGGGAUGAUGGGGGAUCCUGGAAGGUGGUGAGUAUAUUUGGCAUGUGGGAGGGGGGAAAUCACUGAGAGCCAGCGGUGGCCUGUGGAGCCAGCCACCAAGGCAGCCUGAUGAUUCUCGUCCCCUGGUGCUCGUUCCUGUGUGUCAUCUCCUUCCUCACUGGAUAGGACCAACAGACCUAGGUCAUAAAAGACAAUGGAGGGGCCCGGCGCUGUGGCUCACGUCUGUAAUCCCAGCACUUUGGGAGGCUGAGGCGAGUGGAUCACCUGAGGUCGGGAGUUUGAGACCAGCCUGGCCAACAUGGUGAAACCCUGUCUCUACUAAAAAUACAAAAAUUAGCUGGGCGUGAUGGCACACCUCGGUAAUCCCAGCUACUUGGGUGGUUGAGGCAGGAAAAUCACUUGAACCUGGGAGGCGGAGGUUGCAGUGAGCCGAUAUUACGCCACUGCACUCCAGCCUGGGCGACACAGUGAGACUCCAUCUCAAAAAUAAAAAAGACAAUGAGGCUUCCACCUUGCCCUCUCUGGAAUUAUUUGCUCUGGAGAAGCCAGUUGCCAUGCUGCGAGGAUACUCAAGCAACCCUGUGGAGAGAUCUACAUGGCAGGGAUUUGUUGUUUCCUGCCAGCAGCUAGUGCGAACUUGCCAGCCACAUGAACAAGCUUUCUCAGAGUGCAUCCUCUAGGGGCGGUCAUGCCUUUGAUGCCCACAGCCCCACUGACAUCUUGGCCACAGCCUCAGAAGAGACCCUGUGCCGGAGCCACCCAGCCGAGCCACUGCUGAGAUCCUGACCCUCAGAAACAGAAGUAAUAAAUAUUGUUAAUUUAAGCUCCUAAAUUGGGGGCAGUUUGUUACACAGUGAUAGAUAACGAAUUCAUACUCCGUAAUUCCCCUCGCACAUUUGUGGUGUCUUUUUAAAAAUACCAAUUCUCAUAUACACAGUGGUCUGUUUCUGAUCGCUCUGUUGUGUUUCUCAGGUAUUUUUGUUUCUGUGCCCGAACUGAUACCGUUCUCACUGUUGUGGCUUUGCAGCCUAUCUUAAUAUCUGGCAGGGUCGGCCUUUCCUCUUUGCUCUUAUUUUUAAAAACUGACCUAAGUUUGGGAGGAUGGCUUGAGCCCAGGAGGUCAAGGCUGCUGUAAGCUGUGGUCAUGCCACUGCACUCAGCCUGGAUGACAGCAAGACCCUGUCUC
RNAcentral lists this long non-coding RNA (2194 nucleotides) under Homo sapiens (human). Its description in RNAcentral is "HSALNT0229609". Lineage: Eukaryota; Metazoa; Chordata; Mammalia; Primates; Hominidae. The record is from RNAcentral.